This 484-nucleotide ribosomal RNA is filed under the name uncultured bacterium. Its description in RNAcentral is "partial 16S ribosomal RNA". It matches the Rfam family "Bacterial small subunit ribosomal RNA", at positions 28 to 507 of the family's 1533-position model. The record is from RNAcentral.
GUUGAACGCUGGCGGCAUGCCUAACACAUGCAAGUCGAGCGGAUAAAGGCAGCUUUCGCCUGGAGUCAUCGGCGGGCGGGUGGGUGAUUCCUAGGAAUCUGCCUUGUAGUGUAGUAUGACGUCCGGAAACGAGCGCUGAUACCGCAUACGUCCUGAGGGUGAAAUUGGGUGUUCUUCGGACCUGACGCUUGCAUAUGAGCCUAGGUCGGAUGAGCUAGUUGGUUGGGUAAGGGAGUACCUAGCCGACGAUCCGUAACUGGUCUGAGAGGAUGAUCAGUCACACUGGAACUGAGACACGGACCAGACUCCUACGGGAGGCAGCAGUGGGGAAUAUUGGACGAACGGCGAAAGCAUGAUCCAGCCAUGCCGCGUGUGUGAAGAAGGUCUUCGGAUUGUAAAGCAAUUCCAGUUGGGAGGAAGGGAAGUACGCUAAUAUCUUGCUGUUUUGCCGUAACUAAGAGAAUAAGCACCGGCUAACUUCGUG